Molecule: unclassified non-coding RNA, 282 nt
Filed under: Ascomycota sp.
Lineage: Eukaryota; Fungi; Ascomycota
Description: partial contains 5.8S ribosomal RNA, internal transcribed spacer 2, and large subunit ribosomal RNA
Rfam family: 5.8S ribosomal RNA (bases 1-71)
Source: RNAcentral
GUGAGUCAUCGAAUCUUUGAACGCAUAUUGCACCCUCUGGUAUUCCGGGGGGUACACCUGUUCGAGCGCUAUUUCAACCCUCAAGCUUAGCUUGGUGUUGGGGUAGGGUCCCGGGGGACCCCCCCGUAACUUGUAGGCGGUCACCGCCCGUACCCCCUGCGUAGCAAGCUCAUGCACUCGCUCGGGGUCAGUGUGUGAUCAUGCCCCCAAACCGUUCUAAAGGUUUGGCCUCGGAUCAGGUGGGGAUACCCACUGAACUUAAGCAUAUCAAUAAGCGGAGGA